UACAGAGGGGGCAAGCGUUAUUCGGAAUUAUUGGGCGUAAAGGGCGCGUAGGUGGCCCGGUAAGUCAAAGGUGAAAUCCCUCGGCUCAACCGAGGAACUGCCUUUGAUACUGCCGGGCUUGAGGCCGGGAGAGGGUAGCGGAAUUCCCAGUGUAGCGGUGAAAUGCGUAGAUAUUGGGAGGAACACCGGUGGCGAAGGCGGCUACCUGGACCGGUUCUGACACUGAGGCGCGAAAGCGUGGGGAUCAAACAGG
RNAcentral lists this ribosomal RNA (253 nucleotides) under uncultured bacterium. Its description in RNAcentral is "partial 16S ribosomal RNA". It matches the Rfam family "Bacterial small subunit ribosomal RNA", at positions 524 to 776 of the family's 1533-position model. The record is from RNAcentral.